Maribacter sedimenticola is the source of this 328-nucleotide non-coding RNA. Lineage: Bacteria; Pseudomonadati; Bacteroidota; Flavobacteriia; Flavobacteriales; Flavobacteriaceae. The record is from Rfam.
AACGCAGGCCACCUUAUCGCGGAUUAUCCCCAUUAAUUUGGGAUAAAACGAGGAAAGUCCGGACACCAUAGUGCAGUAUAGCGGGUAACGCCCGCCCACUGAAAAGUGAGGACAAGUGCAACAGAAAGCAAGUACAGUUAGGCUGUAGUGAAACCAGGUAAACUCUAUACGGUGAAACGUCAUGUAAAUCGAUGCUUGAGGGCUGCACGCCCAAGUCGAAGGGUAGGCGGUUAGAACCUUGGGGCAACCCAAGGUCUAGAUAAAUGAUAAGGCAAUUCUGAAUUUGGUUUCAGAACGAACAGAAUCCGGCUUAUGGCCUGCUUUUUUU